GGCGAGUGAGCAGCAAUAGCUCAAAUUUGAAAUCUGGCGUCUUCGACGUCCGAGUUGUAAUUUGUAGAGGAUGCUUCUGAGUAACCACCGACCUAAGUUCCUUGGAACAGGACGUCAUAGAGGGUGAGAAUCCCGUAUGCGGUCGGAAAGGUGCUCUAUACGUAGCUCCUUCGACGAGUCGAGUUGUUUGGGAAUGCAGCUCUAAAUGGGAGGUAAAUUUCUUCUAAAGCUAAAUAUUGGCCAGAGACCGAUAGCGCACAAGUAGAGUGAUCGAAAGAUGAAAAGCACUUUGGAAAGAGAGUUAAAAAGCACGUGAAAUUGUUAAAAGGGAAGGGAUUGCAACCAGACUUGCUCGCGGUGUUCCGCCGGUCUUCUGACCGGUCUACUCGCCGCGUUGCAGGCCAGCAUCGUCUGGUGCCGCUGGAUAAGACUUGAGGAAUGUAGCUCCCUCGGGAGUGUUAUAGCCUCUUGUGAUGCAGCGAGCGCCGGGCGAGGUCCGCGCUUCGGCUAGGAUGCUGGCGUAAUGGUCGUAAUCCGCCCGUCUUGAAACAC
Molecule: ribosomal RNA, 552 nt
Filed under: Cladosporium cladosporioides
Lineage: Eukaryota; Fungi; Ascomycota; Dothideomycetes; Cladosporiales; Cladosporiaceae
Description: eukaryotic LSU rRNA
Rfam family: Eukaryotic large subunit ribosomal RNA
Source: RNAcentral